Molecule: ribosomal RNA, 443 nt
Filed under: uncultured bacterium
Lineage: Bacteria
Description: partial 16S ribosomal RNA
Rfam family: Bacterial small subunit ribosomal RNA
Source: RNAcentral
CCUACGGGUGGCAGCAGUGGGGAAUAUUGGGCAAUGGGCGCAAGCCUGACCCAGCAAAGCCGCGUGAAGGAAGAAGGCUUUCGGGUUGUAAACUUCUUUUCUCAAGGACGAAGCAAGUGACGGUACCUGAUGAAUAAGCCACGGCUAACUACGUGCCAGCAGCCGCGGUAAUACGUAGGUGGCAAGCGUUAUCCGGAUUUACUGGUUGUAAAGGGCGUGUAGGCGGGACUGCAAGUCAGAUGUGAAACCCACGGGCUCAACCUGUGGCCUGCAUUUGAAACUGUAGGUCUUGAGUACUGGAGAGGCAGACGGAAUUCCUAGUGUAGCGGUGAAAUGCGUAGAGAUUAGGAGGAACACCAGUGGCGAAGGCGGUCUGCUGGACAGCAACUGACGCUGAGGCGCGAAAGCGUGGGGAGCAAACAGGAUUAGAUACCCCUGUAGUC